Non-coding RNA from Heligmosomoides polygyrus, 75 nucleotides. The record is from Rfam. NCBI's taxonomy places the organism in Eukaryota, Metazoa, Nematoda, Chromadorea, Rhabditida, Heligmosomidae.
GCGCCGGUGGUGUAAAGGCGUAGAGCAUUCCCGUUUGGUCAGAAGGAGGUGUGGGUUCGAAUCCCGCCUGGCGCU